Molecule: long non-coding RNA, 531 nt
Filed under: Aotus nancymaae (Ma's night monkey)
Lineage: Eukaryota; Metazoa; Chordata; Mammalia; Primates; Aotidae
Description: lncRNA (ENSANAG00000039220.1)
Source: RNAcentral
GAAAUGCAACUGGGUGCAGUGACACACGCCUAUAGUCCCGGUUACUAGGAGGCUAAGGCAGAAGGAUCCCAUGAGUCCACGAGUUUGAAACCACCCUGAGCAACACAGUGAGAACCAGUCUCAAAAGAAAGGAAAAAAGAAGAUGAAGGAAGAUGAAGGAAGGAAGGAAGGAAGGAAGAAGAGGGAGUGAGGGAAAGGGGAAAGAAAGAAAAAAUGCAGCAUGUUCAAGUUAUUAUAAGGAAGAAAUUCUAGUUUUAGAUAAAGGUAGGAGAGGGUAAAUGUUGAGGAUGAAUCACUGGAAGAGUCAAACAGUGGAACAAUUUUCCCUGGAAUUCUGCCUGAGUGCAAUGGGCAUUAGAAAGAGCAUUACUGUGGUGGUAACACUGAAAGUGCUUGCAGUGUCAAAUAACAAGUGUUCUGGUGACCUAGUAGUCAUACGGAUCCAUCCAUUCGGACAUCCAAAUCAUGGGAAAGGAAGCCAAAAAUUCAAGGUAAAAUGUUUUUUUAAAAACUGAAUAAAUAAAUGUCUCU